ACAUGUGUAGCUCAGGUGGAAAGAGCAUGAGAUUAGAGUCUCAAGGUUCCAGGUUCAAGCUCUGGUGUAUGCU
Molecule: non-coding RNA, 73 nt
Organism: Hypoxylon sp. FL1150
Lineage: Eukaryota; Fungi; Ascomycota; Sordariomycetes; Xylariales; Hypoxylaceae
Source: the annotation of a GenBank genome assembly